ACGGGGAGCACCACAACAGGUGGAGCCUGCGGUUUAAUCGGACUCAACGCCGGGAAACUCACCAGAUAAGACAGCUGAAUGAUAGUCGGGCUGAAGACUCUACUUGACUAGCUGAGAGGAGGUGCAUGGCCGUCGUCAGUUCGUACUGUGAAGCAUCCUGUUAAGUCAGGCAACGAGCGAGACCCACGCCAACAGUUGCCAGCUCGUCCUCCGGGAUGGUGGGGACACUGUUGGGACCGCUCUGCUAAAGAGGAGGAAGGAAUGGGCAACGGUAGGUCAGCAUGCCCCGAAUUAUCUGGGCUACACGCGGGCUACAAUGGGUGGGACAAUGGGUAUCGACACCGAAAGGUGAAGGCAAUCUCCUAAACCCAUCCGUAGUUCGGAUUGUGGGCUGCAACUCGCCCACAUGAAGCUGGAAUCUGUAGUAAUCGUGUCUCAAAAUGGCACGGUGAAUAUGUCCCUGCUCCUU
RNAcentral lists this ribosomal RNA (469 nucleotides) under uncultured Methanomicrobiales archaeon. RNAcentral describes it as "bacterial SSU rRNA". It matches the Rfam family "Archaeal small subunit ribosomal RNA", at positions 871 to 1337 of the family's 1478-position model. Lineage: Archaea; Methanobacteriati; Methanobacteriota; Methanomicrobia; Methanomicrobiales. The record is from RNAcentral.